RNAcentral lists this ribosomal RNA (860 nucleotides) under uncultured bacterium. RNAcentral describes it as "bacterial SSU rRNA". It matches the Rfam family "Bacterial small subunit ribosomal RNA", at positions 44 to 884 of the family's 1533-position model. The record is from RNAcentral.
AGGCCUAACACAUGCAAGUCGAGCGGUAGCGGGCCUGACCACUCUCGAGUGGUUCAGGCGCCGACGAGCGGCGGACGGGUGCGUAACACGUAGGAAUCUGCCCGGUAGUGGGGGAUAGCCCGGAGAAAUUCGGAUUAAUACCGCAUACGCCCUAAGGGGGAAAGCAGGGGAUCUUCGGACCUUGCGCUAUCGGAUGAGCCUGCGUCGGAUUAGCUAGUUGGUGGGGUAAAGGCCUACCAAGGCGACGAUCCGUAGCUGGUCUGAGAGGAUGAUCAGCCACACUGGGACUGAGACACGGCCCAGACUCCUACGGGAGGCAGCAGUGGGGAAUAUUGCACAAUGGGCGAAAGCCUGAUGCAGCCAUGCCGCGUGUGUGAAGAAGGCCCUAGGGUUGUAAAGCACUUUCAGUGGGGAGGAAAGGUCGAAGGUUAAUACCCUUUGGCUGUGACGUUACCCACAGAAGAAGCACCGGCUAACUCCGUGCCAGCAGCCGCGGUAAUACGGAGGGUGCGAGCGUUAAUCGGAAUUACUGGGCGUAAAGCGUGCGUAGGCGGCCAUUUAAGUUGGAUGUGAAAGCCCCGGGCUCAACCUGGGAACUGCAUCCAAAACUGGGUGGCUUGAGUGCGAGAGAGGAGUGUGGAAUUUCCUGUGUAGCGGUGAAAUGCGUAGAUAUAGGAAGGAACACCAGUGGCGAAGGCGACACUCUGGCUUGACACUGACGCUGAGGUACGAAAGCGUGGGGAGCAAACAGGAUUAGAUACCCUGGUAGUCCACGCCGUAAACGAUGUCUACUAGUUGUCGGUGGUCUUGUACUGCUGGUAACGCAGCUAACGCGAUAAGUAGACCGCCUGGGGAGUACG